Molecule: unclassified non-coding RNA, 253 nt
Filed under: uncultured Gemmatimonadota bacterium
Lineage: Bacteria; Pseudomonadati; Gemmatimonadota
Description: uncultured Gemmatimonadetes bacterium contains 16S-23S intergenic spacer region
Rfam family: Bacterial small subunit ribosomal RNA
Source: RNAcentral
GACGGAGGGCGCGAGCGUUGUUCGGAAUCACUGGGCGUAAAGCGCGCGCAGGCGGAUGGGCAAGUCGGAAGUGAAAUCCCGGGGCUCAACCCCGGGACUGCUCCCGAUACUGCCCGUCUAGGGACCGGUAGAGGCUGGUGGAAUUCCCGGUGUAGCGGUGGAAUGCGUAGAUAUCGGGAAGAACACCCGUGGCGAAGGCGGCCAGCUGGGCCGGAUCCGACGCUGAGGCGCGAAAGCGUGGGGAGCAAACAGG